GACGAACGCUGGCGGCGUGCCUAAUACAUGCAAGUCGAGCGGAAUGAAGAAGAAGCUUGCUUCUUCUGAUUUUAGCGGCGGACGGGUGAGUAACACGUGGGCAACCUACCUUGUAGAUUGGGAUAACUCCGGGAAACCGGGGCUAAUACCGGAUAAUCCAUUUUGCUUCAUGGCGAGAUGUUAAAAGGCGGCUUCGGCUGUCACUACGAGAUGGGCCCGCGGCGCAUUAGCUAGUUGGUAGGGUAAUGGCCUACCAAGGCGACGAUGCGUAGCCGACCUGAGAGGGUGAUCGGCCACACUGGGACUGAGACACGGCCCAGACUCCUACGGGAGGCAGCAGUAGGGAAUCUUCCACAAUGGACGAAAGUCUGAUGGAGCAACGCCGCGUGAGUGAAGAAGGUUUUCGGAUCGUAAAACUCUGUUGUAAGGGAAGAACACGUACGAGAGUAACUGCUCGUACCUUGACGGUACCUUAUUAGAAAGCCACGGCUAACUACGUG
RNAcentral lists this ribosomal RNA (500 nucleotides) under uncultured bacterium. RNAcentral's name for it is "bacterial SSU rRNA". It matches the Rfam family "Bacterial small subunit ribosomal RNA", at positions 28 to 507 of the family's 1533-position model. The record is from RNAcentral.